RNAcentral lists this unclassified non-coding RNA (301 nucleotides) under uncultured fungus. RNAcentral describes it as "sequence contains ITS1". The stretch from base 1 to 97 matches the Rfam family "5.8S ribosomal RNA", at positions 50 to 154 of the family's 154-position model. The record is from RNAcentral. Lineage: Eukaryota; Fungi.
GAAAUGCGAAACGCAAUGCGAAUUGCAGAACCGCGAGUCAUCAGAUCUUUGAACGCAAAUGGCGAUAGCGCAAGCUAUCAUGUUUGUCUCAGUGUAUUUGGUUAUUUACAUCAUAUAUUUAAAUGCGAUUGAGGAAACUCUCUCGUCGAAUCAGGAGCCGUUUGAGGUUCUGAUAUAACAAACGAAGUAGUCACUAAUAAGUGAUGUCGUUUUCGUAUCAGUUCUUCUUUAAAAGACGACUCACCAAAUACAAUAUCCCAUAUGAUACCUGAGAGAAGCAAGGUAACCCGCUGAACUUAAA